UCAAGUGACUAAGUGUAUGUGGUGGAUGCCUUGGCGAUCACAGGCGAAGAAGGACGUAGUAGCUUGCGAUAAGCUGCGGGGAGCCGGCAAACGGGCAUUGAUCCGCAGAUUUCCGAAUGGGGGAACCCACCGACGCAAGUCGGUAUCACACACUGAAUACAUAGGUGUGUGAGGCGAACGGAGCGAACUGAAACAUCUAAGUAGCUCCAGGAAAAGAAAUCAACCGAGAUUGCGAAAGUAGCGGCGAGCGAAAUCGCAGCAGCCCAGUGUUCUGAUAGCACGAACGACAGCAGAAGGGUCUGGAAAGGCCUGCUAUAGAGGGUGAUAGCCCCGUAUGCGAAAUCGGACGUGUGGUACUAAGGAACCGAUAAGUAGGGCGGGACACGUGACAUCCUGUCUGAAGAUGGGGGGACCAUCCUCCAAGGCUAAAUACUCGUGAUCGACCGAUAGUGAACCAGUACUGUGAAGGAAAGGCGAAAAGAACCCCGGGAGGGGAGUGAAAUAGAACCUGAAACCGCAUACAUACAAACAGUAGGAGCCCGUGUAGUCGGGUGACUGCGUACCUUUUGCAUAAUGGGUCAGCGACUUACGUUUUGUGGCGAGCUUAACCGAGUAGGGGAGGCGUAGCGAAAGCGAGUUCGAAUAGAGCGAGAAGUCUCAAGGCGUAGACCCGAAACCAGAUGAGCUAUCCAUGGCCAGGUUGAAGGUGUGGUAACACACACUGGAGGACCGAACCGACUAGUGUUGCAAAAUUAGCGGAUGAGCUGUGGAUAGGGGUGAAAGGCUUAACAAAUCUGGAGAUAGCUGGUUCUCCCCGAAAACUAUUGAGGUAGUGCCUCGUGUAUUGCUCCAGGGGGUAGAGCACUGUUAUGGCUAGGGGGACAUGGCGUCUUACCAAACCAUGGCAAACUCCGAAUACUUGGAAGUAAGAGCACGGGAGACAGAGCACCGGGUGCUAACGUCCGGACUCAAGAGGGAAACAACCCAGACCGCCGUUUAAGGUCCCAAAUAUUGACUAAGUGGAAAACGAAGUGUGAAGGCUAAGACAGUCAGGAAGUUGGCUUAGAAGCAGCCAUCCUUCAAAGAAAGCGUAAUAGCUCACUGAUCGAGUCCUCAUGCGCGGAAGAUGUAACGGGGCUAAGUCAAUAACCGAAAGCGCGGAUUUGCACGAUAAGUGCAAGUGGUAGGGGAGCGUUCUGUAAGCCUGCGAAGGUGGUUCGAGAGGACUGCUGGAGGUAUCAGAAGUGCGAAUGCUGACAUGAGUAACGUUAAAGCGGGUGAAAAGCCCGCUCGCCGUAAGCCCAAGGUUUCCUGCUCUACGUUCAUCGGAGCAGGGUGAGUCGGCCCCUAAGGCCAGGCUGAGAAGCGUAGUCGAUGGGAAGCAGAUUAAUAUUUCUGCACCAUGUGCAAGUGCGAUGGGGGGACGGAGUGCGAAAGAUCAUCCGGGUGUUGGAUGUCCCGGUUUGUGAGUGUAGAAGGCCGACAGGCAAAUCCGUCGGCGGAUCUUCGAGACAAAGCAUCGAGGUUCUACGGAACCGAAGUGAUCGGAAGUGCUUCCAGGAAAAGCCUCUAAGCUUCAGCUUGCAUGUGACCGUACCGUAAACCGACACUGGUGGGCGAGUUGAAUAUACUCAGGCGCUUGAGAGAACUCGGGAGAAGGAACUCGGCAAAUUGACACCGUAACUUCGGGAUAAGGUGUGCCUUUGUAGCGUGAAGAGAGAAACACUCGGAGCGUGAAGAGGCCUCAGAGAAUCGGUGGCUGCAACUGUUUAUUAAAAACACAGCACUCUGCAAAGACGAAAGUCGACGUAUAGGGUGUGAUGCCUGCCCGGUGCUGGAAGAUUAAGUGAUGGGGUGAGAGCUCCUGAUCGAAGUCCCAGUAAACGGCGGCCGUAACUAUAACGGUCCUAAGGUAGCGAAAUUCCUUGUCGGGUAAGUUCCGACCUGCACGA
RNAcentral lists this ribosomal RNA (1952 nucleotides) under human gut metagenome. Its description in RNAcentral is "bacterial LSU rRNA". It matches the Rfam family "Bacterial large subunit ribosomal RNA", at positions 3 to 1995 of the family's 2925-position model. The record is from RNAcentral.